This 765-nucleotide ribosomal RNA is filed under the name uncultured Streptococcus sp. RNAcentral's name for it is "bacterial SSU rRNA". It matches the Rfam family "Bacterial small subunit ribosomal RNA", at positions 28 to 776 of the family's 1533-position model. Lineage: Bacteria; Bacillati; Bacillota; Bacilli; Lactobacillales; Streptococcaceae. The record is from RNAcentral.
GACGAACGCUGGCGGCGUGCCUAAUACAUGCAAGUAGAACGCUGAAGAGAGGAGCUUGCUCUUCUUGGAUGAGUUGCGAACGGGUGAGUAACGCGUAGGUAACCUGCCUUGUAGCGGGGGAUAACUAUUGGAAACGAUAGCUAAUACCGCAUAACAAUGGAUGACACAUGUCAUUUAUUUGAAAGGGGCAAUUGCUCCACUACAAGAUGGACCUGCGUUGUAUUAGCUAGUAGGUGAGGUAAUGGCUCACCUAGGCGACGAUACAUAGCCGACCUGAGAGGGUGAUCGGCCACACUGGGACUGAGACACGGCCCAGACUCCUACGGGAGGCAGCAGUAGGGAAUCUUCGGCAAUGGGGGCAACCCUGACCGAGCAACGCCGCGUGAGUGAAGAAGGUUUUCGGAUCGUAAAGCUCUGUUGUAAGUCAAGAACGGGUGUGAGAGUGGAAAGUUCACACUGUGACGGUAGCUUACCAGAAAGGGACGGCUAACUACGCGCCAGCAGCCGCGGUAAUACGUAGGUCCCGAGCGUUGUCCGGAUUUAUUGGGCGUAAAGCGAGCGCAGGCGGUUUGAUAAGUCUGAAGUUAAAGGCUGUGGCUCAACCAUAGUUCGCUUUGGAAACUGUCAAACUUGAGUGCAGAAGGGGAGAGUGGAAUUCCAUGUGUAGCGGUGAAAUGCGUAGAUAUAUGGAGGAACACCGGUGGCGAAAGCGGCUCUCUGGUCUGUAACUGACGCUGAGGCUCGAAAGCGUGGGGAGCGAACAGG